GUGAGCUGGGUUUAGAACGUCGUGAGACAGUUCGGUCCCUAUCUGUCGCGGGCGGAGGAGGUUUGACGGGAGCUGCCCCUAGUACGAGAGGACCGGGGUGGACGGACCUCUAGUGUGCGAGCUGUUCCGCCAGGAGCACCGCUCGGUAGCUAUGUCCGGCAGGGAUAAGCGCUGAAGGCAUCUAAGCGCGAAACCCGCCUGAAGAUGAGACCUCCCGGGGCGCAAGCCCCCUGAAGGGCCCUCGUAGACUACGAGGUUGAUAGGCCGGAGGUGUAAGCGCCGUGAGGCGUUCAGCUGACCGGUACUAAUCGCCCGUGCGGCUUGACCAC
Molecule: ribosomal RNA, 329 nt
Filed under: Candidatus Rokuibacteriota bacterium
Lineage: Bacteria; Candidatus Rokuibacteriota
Description: bacterial LSU rRNA
Rfam family: Bacterial large subunit ribosomal RNA
Source: RNAcentral